CACACACACAGCUACAUCGCAGGUACACAUACUUACACAUACACAGGUAUACACACAGCUACAUCGCAGGUACACACACUUACACAUGCACAGGUACACACACAGCUACAUCGCAGGUACACAUACUUACACAUACACAGGUACACACACAGCUACAUCGCAGGUACACAUACUUACACAUACACAGGUACACACACAGCUACAUCGCAGGUACACAUACUUACACAUACACAGGUAUACACACAGCUACAUCGCAGGUACACACACUUACACAUGCACAGGUACACACACAGCUACAUCGCAGGUACACAUACUUACACAUACACAGGUACACACACUUACACAUGCACAGGUACACACACAGCUACCUCGCAGGUACACACACUUACACAUACACAGGUAUACACACAGCUACAUCGCAGGUACACACACUUACACAGGUACACACACACACACACACACAGCUACAUCGCAGGUACACACACUUACACAUACACAGGUAUACACACAGCUACAUCGCAGGUACACACUUACACAGGUACACACACUUACACAGGUAUACACACAGCUACAUCGCAGGUACACACUUACACA
Molecule: long non-coding RNA, 594 nt
Organism: Labrus mixtus (cuckoo wrasse)
Lineage: Eukaryota; Metazoa; Chordata; Actinopteri; Labriformes; Labridae
Exons: 4
Source: RefSeq, a predicted model, not a curated record